CCUACGGGAGGCAGCAGUGAGGAAUAUUGGUCAAUGGCCGAGAGGCUGAACCAGCCAAGUCGCGUGCAGGAAGACGGCUCUAUGAGUUGUAAACUGCUUUUGUACGAGGGUAAACGCAGAUACGCGUAUCUGUCUGAAAGUAUCGUACGAAUAAGGAACGGCUAACUCCGUGCCAGCAGCCGCGGUAAUACGGAGGAUUCAAGCGUUACCCGGAUUUAUUGGGUUUAAAGGGUGCGUAGGCGGUCGGAUAAGUUAGAGGUGAAAUCCCGAGGCUCAACUUCGGAAUUGCCUCUGAUACUGUUCGGCUAGAGAGUAGUUGCGGUAGGCGGAAUGUAUGGUGUAGCGGUGAAAUGCUUAGAGAUCAUACAGAAUACCGAUUGCGAAGGCAGCUUACCAAGCUACUUCUGACGUUGAGGCACGAAAGCGUGGGGAGCAAACAGGAUUAGAUACCCGAGUAGUC
This 460-nucleotide ribosomal RNA is filed under the name uncultured bacterium. RNAcentral describes it as "partial 16S ribosomal RNA". It matches the Rfam family "Bacterial small subunit ribosomal RNA", at positions 338 to 795 of the family's 1533-position model. The record is from RNAcentral.